RNAcentral lists this unclassified non-coding RNA (345 nucleotides) under soil metagenome. Its description in RNAcentral is "partial contains 5.8S ribosomal RNA, internal transcribed spacer 2, and large subunit ribosomal RNA". The stretch from base 1 to 120 matches the Rfam family "5.8S ribosomal RNA", at positions 35 to 154 of the family's 154-position model. The record is from RNAcentral.
GAUGAAGAACGCAGCGAAAUGCGAUACGUAAUGUGAAUUGCAGAAUUCAGUGAAUCAUCGAGUCUUUGAACGCACAUUGCGCCUCCUGGUAUUCCGGGGGGCAUGCCUGUCCGAGCGUCAUUGCUGCCCUCAAGCACGGCUUGUGUGUUGGGCCUCCGUCCUCCUCCCGGGGGACGGGCCCGAAAGGCAGCGGCGGCACCGCGUCCGGUCCUCGAGCGUAUGGGGCUUCGUCACCCGCUCUUGUAGGCCCGGCCGGCGCUUGCCUACACAUCAAUCUUUUUUCCAGGUUGACCUCGGAUCAGGUAGGGAUACCCGCUGAACUUAAGCAUAUCAAUAAGCGGAGGA